AUGUCCCUCAAAGAAUCAUCCAGAGAGCACCCGCCGGUAUUUCCAUCCCCUGCCGGCGCUGGAAUUUCCAUCCACGGCGAGGAGAGAUUGAGAAUCUUGGCCGCGGAUCAGAGCCUGCCGCCGUGCGCCGCGCUCCGGAGUCCCGUCGCCGUGCGCCGGUUCCAGCCUCCCGCCAGAGCCAGCAAGAAGCGCAAGAAGCGCCUGGACCGCGAGUUCUUGGUCGGCAUGGAGUCGACGACGUCGUCGGCAGGGCCCGCCACGGGCGUCAACUCGCUGGACGAGGCCGUCGCCGGGGACCGCCGGCCGCGAGGGGAGGAUGUUGGCCGCGAGGGGACGAUGUUGGCCGCGCUCCGCCAGGUCCAGUCUCCGGCGGCCAGAGCAAGCAAGAAGCGCAAGAAUCGCAAGAAGCGUGCGUCGUCGGCGGCGGCAUGGCCCGCCACGGACCGCCACUCGUGGGGCUCGAUCGCCGUCGUCAACCCCAGGCUGCAGGACGUGCUGAGCCACCCGGGCGCCUCCGCCCCGGAGCGCAUCUACGGGAGGCGGCUGACGAGGACGGACCGGAAGCUCCACCACAACCGGCUACUCAUGUCGUGCAAGAUCUGGCGGGCGCGGGGCGAGACGUUCCCGCUGGAGCGUGUCCUGACGGACGCGGAGCAGGCGGCCGUGAAGGUGGCGGAGGGCCUGCAGGUGCAGGCCUACGACCGCCGCGGCAGGCACUACGACCUCGUCUGCAAGAAGCUGCGCUCCAACAACGCCUACCGCCUCGUCCGCGGCUGGGGCACCUUCCUGAGAGCGAACGGCCUCGUCGUGGGGAAGAACGACGGGGCCGAGGUCCUGUCGCCGGUCAUCAGGUUCGAUCUGCGGACGUUCCGCUCGCCGGCGCUCAAGAUGGGCGUCGACGGACAGCAGGGCGGCCCGCUCGGGCUCCUCAUCAUGCACUACCCCGAGGGAGACGACCCGGCCACGCACGCCGAGGCGGGCAUCGCGGAGAUCCUGGCGGCGGCGGAGAACGCAGUGGCCAUGCCAUUGCCGGGCGGGGCCGCCGCGGUGGCGGUGCCCGUCCUGGAGGACGCCGUUGAUGCCCCACACGAGGAGGACGCCGUUGAUGCCCCACACGAGGAGGGCGCCGUUGAUGCCCCAGAGGAGGAGAACGCGGUGGAGGCUGAUGAUGGCGGCCGCCUUGAUGUGAUUAUCUUCAGGCUAGAGGAGGCGCGCUCAACACUUGCAAUGCAAAUAUAG
Molecule: ribosomal RNA, 1239 nt
Filed under: Triticum aestivum (bread wheat)
Lineage: Eukaryota; Viridiplantae; Streptophyta; Magnoliopsida; Poales; Poaceae
Description: partial small subunit ribosomal RNA
Source: RNAcentral